RNAcentral lists this ribosomal RNA (471 nucleotides) under uncultured bacterium. RNAcentral's name for it is "bacterial SSU rRNA". It matches the Rfam family "Bacterial small subunit ribosomal RNA", at positions 355 to 825 of the family's 1533-position model. The record is from RNAcentral.
UGGGGAAUAUUGGACAAUGGGCGCAAGCCUGAUCCAGCAAUACCGCGUGUGUGAAGAAGGCCUGAGGGUUGUAAAGCACUUUCAAUGGGGAGGAAAAAGCGUAGAUUAAUACUCUGCGUAUUGACAUUACCCAUACAAGAAGCACCGGCUAACUCCGUGCCAGCAGCCGCGGUAAUACGGAGGGUGCAAGCGUUAAUCGGAAUUACUGGGCGUAAAGCGUGCGUAGGCGGCCUGUUAAGUCAGAUGUGAAAGCCCUGGGCUCAACCUGGGAACUGCAUUUGAAACUGGCAGGCUAGAGUUAGGUAGAGGGGAGUGGAAUUUCCGGUGUAGCGGUGAAAUGCGUAGAUAUCGGAAGGAACACCAGUGGCGAAGGCGGCUUCCUGGUCCAACACUGACGCUGAGGCGCGAAAGCGUGGGGAGCAAACAGGAUUAGAUACCCCUGUAGUCCCUGAGCGGGCUGGCAAGGCGCAU